GAUGAACGCUGACAGAAUGCUUAACACAUGCAAGUCGAGCGGCAGCGGGAAAGUAGCUUGCUACUUUUGCCGGCGAGCGGCGGACGGGUGAGUAAUGCCUGGGGAUCUGCCCAGUCGAGGGGGAUAACUACUGGAAACGGUAGCUAAUACCGCAUACGCCCUACGGGGGAAAGCAGGGGACCUUCGGGCCUUGCGCGAUUGGAUGAACCCAGGUGGGAUUAGCUAGUUGGUGAGGUAACGGCUCACCAAGGCGACGAUCCCUAGCUGGUCUGAGAGAAUGACCAGUCACACUGGAACUGAGACACGGUCCAGACUCCUACGGGAGGCAGCAGUGGGGAAUAUUGCACAAUGGGCGCAAGCCUGAUGCAGCCAUGCCGCGUGUGUGAAGAAGGCC
RNAcentral lists this ribosomal RNA (394 nucleotides) under uncultured bacterium. Its description in RNAcentral is "bacterial SSU rRNA". It matches the Rfam family "Bacterial small subunit ribosomal RNA", at positions 28 to 416 of the family's 1533-position model. The record is from RNAcentral.